GUAGGGAAUUUUGCGCAAUGGGGGAAACCCUGACGCAGCAACGCCGCGUGAUCGAUGAAGCCCUUCGGGGUGUAAAGAUCUGUCAGUGGGGACGAAACCUGACGGUACCCACAGAGGAAGCACCGGCUAACUCCGUGCCAGCAGCCGCGGUAAUACGGGGGGUGCAAGCGUUGUCCGGAAUCAUUGGGCGUAAAGAGUUCGUAGGUGGCACGUUAAGUCUGGUGUUAAAGGAGGAAGCUCAACUUCCGUAGGGCACUGGAUACUGGCGAGCUUGAAUGCGGUAGAGGUAAAGGGAAUUCCUGGUGUAGCGGUGAAAUGCGUAGAUAUCAGGAGGAACAUCGGUGGCGUAAGCGCUUUACUGGGCCGUAAUUGACACUGAGGAACGAAAGCCGGGGUAGCAAAUGGG
Molecule: ribosomal RNA, 406 nt
Filed under: uncultured bacterium
Lineage: Bacteria
Description: bacterial SSU rRNA
Rfam family: Bacterial small subunit ribosomal RNA
Source: RNAcentral